Long non-coding RNA from Gymnodraco acuticeps, 232 nucleotides. RefSeq lists it as uncharacterized. The record is from RefSeq and is a predicted model, not a curated record. The transcript has 3 exons. Lineage: Eukaryota; Metazoa; Chordata; Actinopteri; Perciformes; Bathydraconidae.
AGACCUACCCACUUCCGUUCUUGCCGUGUUUUGCUUCCGCCACCGGCGUAGCGGAGGGUCUUCCUGGCGAUGCCCGUCAAGUAGCCGUAACAUAGAGAGCAUGAAACUCUCUCCUCUCUGCCUGAUCGGGCCAAGCUAAGGCUUUAAAGAACCGCUGCUGUUUUGCUGCACCGAAAAGAGACGGGUUUCUGACGCAGGGUCAUCACCCGUACUGCUGAUCCUGUGUGCUGCU